This 357-nucleotide ribosomal RNA is filed under the name uncultured bacterium. RNAcentral's name for it is "bacterial SSU rRNA". It matches the Rfam family "Bacterial small subunit ribosomal RNA", at positions 30 to 383 of the family's 1533-position model. The record is from RNAcentral.
AUUGAACGCUGGCGGCAUGCUUUACACAUGCAAGUCGAACGGCAGCACGGGUGCUUGCACCUGGUGGCGAGUGGCGAACGGGUGAGUAAUGCACCGGAACGUAUCCAAUAAUGGGGGAUAACGCACCGAAAGGUGUGCUAAUACCGCAUACGCCCUGAGGGGGAAAGCGGGGGAUCGUAAGACCUCGCGUUAAUGGAGCGGCCGAUGCCGGAUUAGCUAGUUGGUGAGGUAAAGGCUCACCAAGGCGACGAUCCGUAGCUGGUCUGAGAGGACGACCAGCCACACUGGAACUGAGACACGGUCCAGACUCCUACGGGAGGCAGCGAGGUGGGUAAUUUUGGAACAAGUGGGCGACAA